This 119-nucleotide ribosomal RNA is filed under the name Pteropus alecto (black flying fox). The record is from RNAcentral. Lineage: Eukaryota; Metazoa; Chordata; Mammalia; Chiroptera; Pteropodidae.
GUCUACGGUCAUGCCAUCCUGAACAAGCCCUAUCCCAUUGGAUCUUGGAAGCUAAGCAAGGUCGGGCCUGGUUAGCAUGUGGAUGGGAGACCACCCAGGAAGACUAGGUGCUAUAGGUG